RNAcentral lists this transfer RNA (77 nucleotides) under Olavius algarvensis Delta 1 endosymbiont. RNAcentral's name for it is "tRNA-Arg-TCT". It matches the Rfam family "tRNA". From Rfam's summary of the family: Transfer RNA (tRNA) molecules are approximately 80 nucleotides in length. Their secondary structure includes four short double-helical elements and three loops (D, anti-codon, and T loops). Further hydrogen bonds mediate the characteristic L-shaped molecular structure. tRNAs have two regions of fundamental functional importance: the anti-codon, which is responsible for specific mRNA codon recognition, and the 3' end, to which the tRNAs corresponding amino acid is attached (by aminoacyl-tRNA synthetases). tRNAs cope with the degeneracy of the genetic code in two manners: having more than one tRNA (with a specific anti-codon) for a particular amino acid; and 'wobble' base-pairing, i.e. permitting non-standard base-pairing at the 3rd anti-codon position. Lineage: Bacteria; Deltaproteobacteria. The record is from RNAcentral.
GCGCCUGUAGCUAAGCGGAUUAGCCAGAGCCUUCUAAGCUCUAUUAUGCGGGUUCGAUUCCCCCCCCAGGCGCCCCA